Molecule: ribosomal RNA, 253 nt
Filed under: uncultured prokaryote
Description: partial 16S ribosomal RNA
Rfam family: Bacterial small subunit ribosomal RNA
Source: RNAcentral
UACAGAGGUCUCAAGCGUUGUUCGGAUUCAUUGGGCGUAAAGGGUGUGUAGGUGGCGCGCUAAGUCGGGUGUGAAAUUUCGGAGCUUAACUCCGAAACUGCAUUCGAUACUGGCGUGCUUGAGGACUGGAGAGGAGACUGGAAUUUACGGUGUAGCAGUGAAAUGCGUAGAUAUCGUAAGGAAGACCAGUGGCGAAGGCGAUCACCUGGGGUUGUUCUGACGCUGAGGAGCGAAAGCUAGGGGAGCAAACGGG